Molecule: ribosomal RNA, 890 nt
Filed under: Anaerolineaceae bacterium enrichment culture clone B6_109
Lineage: Bacteria; Bacillati; Chloroflexota; Anaerolineae; Anaerolineales; Anaerolineaceae
Also listed under: 1 other name
Description: bacterial SSU rRNA
Rfam family: Bacterial small subunit ribosomal RNA
Source: RNAcentral
AGAGUUUGAUCAUGGCUCAGGAUGAACGUUGGCGGCGUGCCUAAUACAUGCAAGUCGAACGGAGAUUGUAGCAAUACGGUCUCAGUGGCGAACGGGUGAGUAACGCGUUGGUGACCUGCCCCGAAGUGUGGAAUAACAGAUCGAAAGAGCUGCUAAUACCGCAUAAUAUCCAGAGGACUAGAUGCCUUUGGAUUAAAGGAUUUAUUCGCUUCGGGAGGGGCCUGCGUCCCAUCAGCUAGUUGGUAAGGUAAAGGCUUACCAAGGCUAUGACGGGUAGGGGACCUGAGAGGGUGGCCCCCCACAAUGGAACUGAAACACGGUCCAUACACCUACGGGUGGCAGCAGUAGGGAAUAUUAGUAAUGGGCGAAAGCCUGAACUAGCAACGCCGCGUGUGCGAAGAAGGCCUUCGGGUUGUAAAGCACUUUUUGAGAGGAUGAGGAAGGACGGUACUCUCAGAAUAAGUCUCGGCUAACUACGUGCCAGCAGCCGCGGUAACACGUAGGAGGCGAACGUUAUCCGGAUUUACUGGGCGUAAAGCGCGUGUAGGUGGUUUGGUAAGUAGGGCGUGAAAGCUCCUGGCUCAACUGGGAGAGGCCGUUCUAAACUGCCGAACUAGAGGAUGGUAGAGGGAGGUGGAAUUCCGGGUGUAGCGGUGGAAUGCGCAGAUAUCCGGAGGAACACCAGUGGCGAAAGCGGCCUCCUGGACCACUCCUGACACUCAGACGCGAAAGCUAGGGUAGCAAACGGGAUUAGAGACCCCGGUAGUCCUAGCCCUAAACGAUGUAGACUUGGCGUCGGUGGUUUAAACGCCAUCGGUGUCGAAGCUAACGCGAUAAGUCUACCGCCUGGGGACUACGGCCGCAAGGUUAAAACUCAAAUGAAUUGACGG